CAACCAACCGUAGGUCGCUGUAAGUGAACCGUCGUGUAGUGAUUUGUUUUUGCAUAAUUGCUGCCAUAGCUCCACCAAUUGUGUUUCAUGAGAAAUCAUUAACAUAAGUUUGCCACUCCUUUUAUCUAAAGUAAUCAAAGUCAUUAGUUGUUAUGGGUAAUGUGAGUAAGCACCAUUGCAUAGAUAGCCAGUGAUGUUGGCUGCUGGAAAAGGAGAAAUCAAUGAAUUAUAGAUUGGGAUCAUAGAACUUCAGAGAGGAAACUAGGUUGAUUGUGCAAUAUUUUUUAAGAACACUUAGUAUCAUGGAUAAUAUGUGAAACAAACAAUAUGAUUUACUCCUUAGCUUGUAAUAGCCUGUUCAAUGUAAAAAUAAGUAUUUAACCAGCCGCAUAGAAGCAUGUUUGCUUUGUGACCUUAGAAACUAGCCAGGCACAGGCAGCACCUCAGCCCCCUCCUCAGCCAGACGGCUACUGUCUCGAGGCGUACAGUGGCCGCUCACCUCGCGGACGUGUCUGGCUCGUCAUCGGCCUCCAAUGCCACGAUCGCGCUGCUACUCCAAUCGUCGCUGACCCGCAUGAUCUCCACUGACUUCCGCAAUGAGUGCGGGCACCUUCGGUCCCAUCAGCUGUUAAGGAUUACCUCGCUUAUGGUGUUCCACAGAGUGACAUGAAACUAUUUUCACUUAUGCAAAAGCUCCAGUGUAGAACCCUGAUUUUUAUCAGUGAGAAUUCUCAGUUAAACUCCAAGACCGUUCACUUGACAUCGAAGCUCGACAUGAGAUAUUGUGCUCUAGUUGAGGUAACUAACAAUCAUCUACGUGUUUACCUCUAUGCAUCCUUUUUCUGCAACUGUUAUGUCUAUCUAUGGUACCAUUUAUGCAUACAACUACAUUAUCUAUGCUUUUGAUUUGUUCCAAGUCUGACUAUGCUUUUUAGAUGUACAUAUCAUCGCACCAUAUUUCCAUCCCUUUUGCAACUGUUAUAA
Long non-coding RNA from Zea mays, 984 nucleotides. RefSeq lists it as uncharacterized. The transcript is spliced from 3 exons. The record is from RefSeq and is a predicted model, not a curated record. NCBI's taxonomy places the organism in Eukaryota, Viridiplantae, Streptophyta, Magnoliopsida, Poales, Poaceae.